RNAcentral lists this ribosomal RNA (514 nucleotides) under Apilactobacillus kunkeei. RNAcentral describes it as "bacterial SSU rRNA". It matches the Rfam family "Bacterial small subunit ribosomal RNA", at positions 32 to 504 of the family's 1533-position model. Lineage: Bacteria; Bacillati; Bacillota; Bacilli; Lactobacillales; Lactobacillaceae. The record is from RNAcentral.
AACGCUGGCGGCGUGCCUAAUACAUGCAAGUCGAACGAGCUCUCCCAAAUUGAUUUUAUGCUUGCAUAAAUGAUUUUUGGAUUCGGAGCGAGUGGCGAACUGGUGAGUAACACGUGGGUAACCUGCCCCGAAGCGGGGGAUAACAUUUGGAAACAAGUGCUAAUACCGCAUAAUUAGUUGGAACCGCAUGGUUCCAACUUGAAAGAUGGCUCUGCUAUCACUUUGGGAUGGACCCGCGCCGUAUUAGUUAGUUGGUGAGAUAAAAGCCCACCAAGACGAUGAUACGUAGCCGACCUGAGAGGGUAAUCGGCCACAUUGGGACUGAGACACGGCCCAGACUCCUACGGGAGGCAGCAGUAGGGAAUCUUCCACAAUGGACGAAAGUCUGAUGGAGCAACGCCGCGUGAGUGAUGAAGGUUUUCGGAUCGUAAAACUCUGUUGUUAAAGAAGAACAAGUGUUAGAGUAACUGUUAACACUUUGACGGUAUUUAACCAGAAAGCCACGGCUAACUAC